GUAUGCGCGUGUGUGUUACCGGGCACUCCCGUCUCUGGUGGCAGAGCCGCUUGGGAGCCUUGGCUGGGACAGGGUCUAGAAGGGGUAGGACGCUCGGUCCUGUGUAUGCACAGAACCGUUCCUUAUAUCCAGGGUCUCUAAUAAAAUCUCAGGAAGGUGUUUUAAGGUCAGAUUGUAUAGGGGAGAGGCUGUCCCUGAGCUGCUAUUGGGAGGAGGAUGGAACUGGAAGAGGAAAUGCAUAAGCUCUCGGUGAUUUCCAAGGAGACACAGGACUAAUUUGUUCAACUGUGAUCACAGGAGAAGGUUAAAGGAGAUCCCCAGUUUCAUCCCUUCUUUUUCAGAUACAACUUUUGGCACUUGCCAAUGCUCAUAAGCCUAACAAGAGAAGAAAGCAUAAGAGAUAAUGUGGCAAGUCUGCAUGCAGGAGGGAUCUCAGAGAAUUGAGGAGAUUAUUCAGGGGGUUCCUGUUGCCUUUUCCUGAAAUCCACAAAGAACCACUAAGGAACCUGGAGGAAUGCCUAGAGCAGAAGGUUGGAAGGAAAGGGAUCCUAACAUGAUACCCCAAGCUGUGACUGAGGCCCAGGAACCCAAAGCCACUAGGGGACCAUUUAGCACAAUGCCCAGUGAUGCAUUACUGCACACCCACAGGAUGAAUGGCAUCUUGCUUGAUGGUCCUCAGAAACCACAGAGGAAAAUGGUCAAUAAAACAUUAAGUAAAAGAAGGAUAUACUCCCCAAGACCUCUUUGACUUUGGACUUUAAAGGGCCAGUCUUUCGACUGUCUCUCUUGGCAAGGAAUGCAUAUCCUGUGUGGCAUCUGGAAGACACGUUCAACCUUCAGAAAUGUAAUGGGGCCUGAGGCCCUUGGCACACAUCUAGAACCAGCACCAGAACCUCCUGGCCUAGUUGAUAAGUGUGGGGAAAGCAGUAAAGCUUGUGUGGACUGAUUGUGAGGGGCUCUGCUGGAAUUUGGCAGCGCGAAGGCUUGGAGAGCAGCCCCAUGCUGGCUCCUAUUCACCGGGCCAGUAUUCCUCGAGCUUUGGAAGUUUCACUCAGCCGUGCACUCAAUGGCUUCACAAAGCUGAUUACAAGCUUCAGCGCAUUCCUGAAGGAGCCAAAAGCGACGCAGGUGCAAACGAGCCGAGGGAGCCCCUUAUCCCGGUGACAGAAUGGGACAAGCUGGGAAAGGCUUGGACCACACAAAUCCAAGGCUCACCAGGCAGCAGAAAGCCUGUCUUGGGAACCGGGGGUCAUUAUCCGCUCUAUUCAGCGGGGACCCAGCGGCGGCGGCGGCGGCGGCGGUGGCUGCUGCUGCAGGGGCUGUGGCGGUAGCGGCGGCACACAGAUCACUGGGGACAGCUCCAGGGUGCUGGGGAGGCCCUGCCUGAGAGAACACAGGCUUCCAACGGCGGAGAAGAGCCCUCGGCCCUGCUGCAGGACUGGGAGCUUUGAGGAUCUUCGAGUUUGCCCUAUUCUACUAAAAUCUUCAGAUUAAAUAUACGUACAUGGAAAAGCGGUCGCAAUAGUACUACAAACGUUAGGACUAGGAUAGACAAGGCUAACGGCCUUUCUUCCAACCAGUUCCUCCCAAAAUACAGAAAGGGCAAACCGAAAUUCUUUCCCUCUCUGAGCCCCUCUGAGCUGAAUUCUUAUGCCCCCUUCCCCACUCUUGGAGCCCCCACUCUCCGCCUCCAGGCCACUUCAAGCAUCUAUCACGGGAGUAUUUCAAGAAUCCCAAAUGUUUGCCCCUAGAGAGACCCCAGUUCUCCCAUCUCCCACCUACUUCCCCCCGCCCCCCCCCCAAUUGUAGAGCGUUUGAAAGUGGGUGCUACCAAGGGGGGAACUUAAGGUCCUGGUUCCUUUAUACGAGAUGGAAAAAGACGAGUUUACUCCCAAGAGUAAUCCAGAGACUAUUUUCAUGCCUAAAUCUAGGGGCACUAAGAGCCCGCCCUGGGUGCAUUUCCGUCUUAACGGUCCAGGAGCAGGAGCCCCACGUUAGUUUGUGUGCCGAAACAUUUCACUGAGGCAAGUUUCCUGCUUGCCUGAUCUUUAUUCCUGAGCUGUCCUGUUCUAGUGGGAGAGAAGAGCCGCGGGUCACCUCGCUCUGUAAUUAAUUACGGCCCUUAGCCGCUACCAAUGACUGAGGAAUCUGCGUUUCCUGGGGGUGGGGAGAGCGGGCGGGGGAAGAGAUAGGAAUAGAGACAGAAACAGAGGGGGAGAGAGAA
This is an RNA transcript of Dromiciops gliroides (monito del monte), 2224 nucleotides long. It is a transcript of the gene named SRY-box transcription factor 1, with no coding region annotated. Lineage: Eukaryota; Metazoa; Chordata; Mammalia; Microbiotheria; Microbiotheriidae. The record is from RefSeq and is a predicted model, not a curated record. The transcript is spliced from 8 exons.